GCCUGGGUGGCUCAGUCGGUUGAGCAUUCGACUUCGGCUCAGGUCAUGAUCUCACGGUUUGUGGGUUCGAGCCCCGCGUCAGGCU
Felis catus (domestic cat) is the source of this 85-nucleotide transfer RNA. It matches the Rfam family "tRNA". Rfam says of the family: Transfer RNA (tRNA) molecules are approximately 80 nucleotides in length. Their secondary structure includes four short double-helical elements and three loops (D, anti-codon, and T loops). Further hydrogen bonds mediate the characteristic L-shaped molecular structure. tRNAs have two regions of fundamental functional importance: the anti-codon, which is responsible for specific mRNA codon recognition, and the 3' end, to which the tRNAs corresponding amino acid is attached (by aminoacyl-tRNA synthetases). tRNAs cope with the degeneracy of the genetic code in two manners: having more than one tRNA (with a specific anti-codon) for a particular amino acid; and 'wobble' base-pairing, i.e. permitting non-standard base-pairing at the 3rd anti-codon position. The record is from Rfam. NCBI's taxonomy places the organism in Eukaryota, Metazoa, Chordata, Mammalia, Carnivora, Felidae.